GAUGAACGCUGGCGGCGUGCCUAAUACAUGCAAGUCGAGCGAACAGACGAGGAGCUUGCUCCUCUGACGUUAGCGGCGGACGGGUGAGUAACACGUGGAUAACCUACCUAUAAGACUGGGAUAACUUCGGGAAACCGGAUCUAAUACCGUAUAAUAUAUUGAACCGCAUGGUUCAAUAGUAAAAGACGGUUUUGCUGUCACUUAUAGAUGGAUCCGCGCCGCAUUAGCUAGUUGGUAAGUUAACGGCUUACCAAGGCAACGAUGCGUAGCCGACCUGAGAGGGUGGUCGGCCACCCUGGAACUGAGCCACGGUCCAGACUCCUACGGGAGGCAGCAGUAGGCAAUCUUCCGCAAUGGGCGAAAGCCUGACGGAGCAACGCCGCGUGAGUGAUGACGGUCUUCGGAUCGUAAAACUCUGUUAUUAGGGAAGAACCAAUGUGUCCGUAAAUAUGCACGUCUUGACGGUACCUAAUCAGAAAGCCACGGCUAACUACGUG
RNAcentral lists this ribosomal RNA (497 nucleotides) under uncultured bacterium. Its description in RNAcentral is "partial 16S ribosomal RNA". It matches the Rfam family "Bacterial small subunit ribosomal RNA", at positions 28 to 507 of the family's 1533-position model. The record is from RNAcentral.